AGCAGCCGCGGUAAUUCCAGCUCCAAUAGCGUAUAUUAAAGUUGUUGCAGUUAAAAAGCUCGUAGUUGAAUUUCGGGAUCAAUUUGCUGGUCGUGCCUCUGGUACGUACUGGUAUUAUUGGUUUCUCCCUUCUGACGAACCAUGAUGUCAUUAAUUUGAUGUCGUGGAGAAUCAGGACUGUUACUUUGAAAAAAUUAGAGUGUUUAAAGCAGGCAUUAGCUUGAAUACAUUAGCAUGGAAUAAUGAAAUAGGACGUUUGAUCCUAUUUUGUUGGUUUCUAGGAUUGACGUAAUGAUUAAUAGGGAUAGUUGGGGGCAUUAGUAUUCAAUUGUCAGAGGUGAAAUUCUUGGAUUUAUUGAAGACUAACUACUGCGAAAGCAUUUGCCAAGGAUGUUUUCAUUAAUCAAGAACGAAAGUUAGGGGAUCGAAGACGAUCAGAUACCGUCGUAGUCUUAACCAUAAACUAUGCCGACGUAGGGAUCGGAUGAUGUUAAUUCUUUUUAAUGACUCU
Molecule: ribosomal RNA, 511 nt
Filed under: uncultured Glomus
Lineage: Eukaryota; Fungi; Glomeromycota; Glomeromycetes; Glomerales; Glomeraceae
Description: SSU rRNA
Rfam family: Eukaryotic small subunit ribosomal RNA
Source: RNAcentral